Molecule: small RNA, 17 nt
Filed under: Arabidopsis thaliana (thale cress)
Lineage: Eukaryota; Viridiplantae; Streptophyta; Magnoliopsida; Brassicales; Brassicaceae
Description: ATSL234350
Source: RNAcentral
UUUUUUUUCCUUUUUUU